CCUGGCUAGAUUGAACGCUGGCGGCAGGCUUAACACAUGCAGGUCGAGCGGUAACAGAUCUAGCUUGCUAGAUGCUGACGAGCGGCGGACGGGUGAGUAAUGCAUAGGAAUCUGCCCGGUAGUGGGGGAUAACCUGGGGAAACCCAGGCUAAUACCGCAUACGCCCUACGGGGGAAAGCAGGGGCUCUUCGGACCUUGCGCUAUCGGAUGAGCCUAUGUCGGAUUAGCUAGUCGGUAGGGUAACGGCCUUCCAAGGCGACGAUCCGUAGCUGGUCUGAGAGGAUGAUCAGCCACAUCGGGACUGAGACACGGCCCGAACUCCUACGGGAGGCAGCAGUGGGGAAUAUUGGACAAUGGGGGCAACCCUGAUCCAGCCAUGCCGCGUGUGUGAAGAAGGCCUUCGGGUUGUAAAGCACUUUCAGCGAGGAAGAAAGCCUGGUGGCCAAUACCCGCCAGGAAGGACAUCACUCGCAGAAGAAGCACCGGCUAACUCCGUGCCAGCAGCCGCGGUAAUACGGAGGGUGCGAGCGUUAAUCGGAAUUACUGGGCGUAAAGCGCGCGUAGGUGGCUUGAUAAGCCGGUUGUGAAAGCCCUGGCUCAACCUGGGAGCGGCAUCCGGAACUGUCAGGCUAGAGUGCAGGAGGGGAAGGUAGAAUUCCCGGUGUAGCGGUGAAAUGCGUAGAGAUCGGGAGGAAUACCA
RNAcentral lists this ribosomal RNA (700 nucleotides) under uncultured bacterium. Its description in RNAcentral is "bacterial SSU rRNA". It matches the Rfam family "Bacterial small subunit ribosomal RNA", at positions 18 to 711 of the family's 1533-position model. The record is from RNAcentral.